RNAcentral lists this ribosomal RNA (73 nucleotides) under Terminalia chebula (chebulic myrobalan). RNAcentral describes it as "partial 28S ribosomal RNA". It matches the Rfam family "Eukaryotic large subunit ribosomal RNA", at positions 24 to 96 of the family's 3401-position model. The record is from RNAcentral. Lineage: Eukaryota; Viridiplantae; Streptophyta; Magnoliopsida; Myrtales; Combretaceae.
CCCGCUGAGUUUAAGCAUAUCAAUAAGCGGAGGAAAAGAAACUAACAAGGAUUCCCCUAGUAACGGCGAGCGA